AGAGUUUGAUCCUGGCUCAGGAUUAACGCUGCGCGGUGUGCAUAAUACAUGCAAGUCGAGCGCCCAGCACUUUGUUUACAAGCAAUUGCAGACAAAGUGCUGGGAGCGGCGGACGGGUGAGUAACACGUUGGUAACUACCUCAGAAUCAGGGAUAAGCCUUAGAAAUAGGGUCUAAUACCGGAUGGUCCCGAAAGGGUAAAGCAGCAAUGCGUUCUGAGAGGUGCCUGCGGCCUAUCAGUUAGUUGGUGAGGUAAUGGCUUACCAAGACUAUGACGGGUAGCUGGUCUGAGAGGAUGAUCAGCCACAAUGGAACUGAGACACGGUCCAUACUCCUACGGGAGGCAGCAGUAAGGAAUCUUUCGCAAUGGGGGAAACCCUGACGAAGCAACACCGCGUGGAGGAUGAAGGCGUUUUCGUUGUAAACUCCUUUUCUGAGGGAAUAAAUCUGAAGGUACCUCAGGAAUAAGCGACGGCUAACUACGUGCCAGCAGCCGCGGUAAGACGUAGGUCGCGAGCGUUAUCCGGAAUUAUUGGGCGUAAAGAGUUCGUAGGUGGUCUGUUAAGUUGGAUGUCAAAGCCUUGAGCUCAACUCAAGACAGGUGUCCAAAACUAACAAACUAGAGACAGGCAGAGGCAAGUGGAAUUCUGUAUGUAGGGGUAAUAUCCGUAGAUAUACAGAGGAACACCAAAAGCGAAGGCAGCUUGCUGGGCCUGUUCUGACACUCAAGAACGAAAGCGUGGGGAGCAAACGGGAUUAGAUACCCCGGUAGUCCACGCCCUAAACUAUGAUCACUAGGUG
RNAcentral lists this ribosomal RNA (800 nucleotides) under uncultured bacterium. RNAcentral describes it as "bacterial SSU rRNA". It matches the Rfam family "Bacterial small subunit ribosomal RNA", at positions 8 to 822 of the family's 1533-position model. The record is from RNAcentral.